RNAcentral lists this ribosomal RNA (253 nucleotides) under uncultured bacterium. Its description in RNAcentral is "partial 16S ribosomal RNA". It matches the Rfam family "Bacterial small subunit ribosomal RNA", at positions 524 to 776 of the family's 1533-position model. The record is from RNAcentral.
UACGUAGGUGGCAAGCGUUGUCCGGAUUUACUGGGCGUAAAGGGCGCGUAGGCGGCUGUACAAGUCAAAGGUGAAAUCCCUCGGCUCAACUGAGGAACUGCCUUUGAAACUGUACGGCUUGAGGCCGGGAGGGGGUAGCGGAAUUCCCAGUGUAGCGGUGAAAUGCGUAGAUACUGGGAGGAACACCAGUGGCGAAGGCGGCUUUCUGGUCUGUAACUGACGCUGAGGCGCGAAAGCGUGGGGAGCAAACAGG